GGGGAAUUUUCCGCAAUGGGCGAAAGCCUGACGGAGCAAUACCGCGUGAGGGAGGAAGGCUCUUGGGUUGUAAACCUCAAAACUUAGGGAAGAAGAAAGUGACGGUACCUAAUAUAAGCAUCGGCUAACUCCGUGCCAGCAGCCGCGGUAAUACGGAGGAUGCAAGCGUUAUCCGGAAUCAUUGGGCGUAAAGCGUCCGUAGGUGGCGAAUCAAGUCCGCAUUCAAAGACCGAGGCUCAACUUCGGGUAGGGUGUGGAAACUGAAUAGCUAGAGUAUAGGAGGGGCAGAGGGAAUUCCUAGUGUAGCGGUGAAAUGCGUAGAGAUUAGGAAGAACACCAGUGGCGAAGGCGCUCUGCUGGACAUAUACUGACACUGAGAGACGAAAGCUAGGGUAGCGAAAGGGAUUAGAUACCCCUGUAGUCCUAGCGGUAAACGAUGGAUACUAAGUGUAGCGGGUAUAAACUCCGGCUGUGCUGAAGCAAACGCGUUAAGUAUCCCGCCUGGGGAGUACGCACGCAAGUGUGAAACUCAAAGGAAUUGACGGGGACCCGCACAAGCGGUGGAGUAUGUGGUUUAAUUCGAUGCAACGCGAAGAACCUUACCAAGACUUGACAUCCUGCGAAUUUUCUGGAAAGAGAGAAGUGCCUUAGGGAACGCAGAGACAGGUGGUGCAUGGCUGUCGUCAGCUCGUGUCGUGAGAUGUUGGGUUAAGUCCCGCAACGAGCGCAACCCUCGUCCUUAGUUGCCAGCAUUAAGUUGGGGACUCUAGGGAGACCGCCGGGGAGAACUCGGAGGAAGGUGGGGAUGACGUCAAGUCAGCAUGCCCCUUACGUCUUGGGCUACACACGUACUACAAUGGUUAAGACAAAGGGAAGCGAAGCUGCAAAGUGAAGCGAAACCCAGCAAACUUAGCCCCAGUUCAGAUCGUCGGCUGAAACUCGCCGACGUGAAGGAGGAAUCGCUAGUAAUCGCAGGUCAGCAUACUGCGGUGAAUCCGUUCCCGGGUCUUGUACACACCGCCCGUCACACCAUGGAAGUUGGUAACAUCCGAAGUCGUUACUCCAACCGUUUACGGAGGAGGACGCCGAAGGUGGGACUAGUGACUGGGGUGAAGUCGUAACAAGGUAACC
Molecule: ribosomal RNA, 1131 nt
Filed under: Cyanobacterium sp. UMPCCC 1230
Lineage: Bacteria; Bacillati; Cyanobacteriota; Cyanophyceae; Chroococcales; Geminocystaceae
Description: bacterial SSU rRNA
Rfam family: Bacterial small subunit ribosomal RNA
Source: RNAcentral